RNAcentral lists this ribosomal RNA (278 nucleotides) under uncultured Brevibacterium sp. Its description in RNAcentral is "partial 16S ribosomal RNA". It matches the Rfam family "Bacterial small subunit ribosomal RNA", at positions 76 to 354 of the family's 1533-position model. The record is from RNAcentral. Lineage: Bacteria; Bacillati; Actinomycetota; Actinomycetes; Micrococcales; Brevibacteriaceae.
CUUGCACCGGGUGGAUGAGUGGCGAACGGGUGAGUAACACGUGAGUAACCUGCCCCUGACUUCGGGAUAAGCCCGGGAAACUGGGUCUAAUACCGGAUACGACUGCCGGACGCAUGUCUGGUGGUGGAAAGUUUUUUCGGUUGGGGAUGGGCUCGCGGCCUAUCAGUUUGUUGGUGAGGUAAUGGCUCACCAAGACGACGACGGGUAGCCGGCCUGAGAGGGCGACCGGCCACACUGGGACUGAGACACGGCCCAGACUCCUACGGGGGGCAGCAGAG